Molecule: ribosomal RNA, 497 nt
Filed under: uncultured bacterium
Lineage: Bacteria
Description: partial 16S ribosomal RNA
Rfam family: Bacterial small subunit ribosomal RNA
Source: RNAcentral
GAUGAACGCUGGCGGCGUGCCUAAUACAUGCAAGUCGAGCGAACAGACGAGGAGCUUGCUCCUCUGACGUUAGCGGCGGACGGGUGAGUAACACGUGGAUAACCUACCUAUAAGACUGGGAUAACUUCGGGAAACCGGAGCUAAUACCGGAUAAUAUAUUGAACCGCAUGGUUCAAUAGUGAAAGACGGUUUUGCUGUCACUUAUAGAUGGAUCCGCGCCGCAUUAGCUAGUUGGUAAGGUAACGGCUUACCAAGGCGACGAUGCGUAGCCGACCUGGGAGGGUGAGCGGCCACACUGGCACUGAGACACGGUCCAGACUCCUACGGGAGGCAGCAGUAGGGAAUCUUCCGAAAUGGGCGAAAGCCUGACGGAGCAACGCCGCGUGAGUGAUGAAGGUCUUCGGAUCGUAAAACUCUGUUAUUAGGGAAGAACAAAUGUGUAAGUAACUAUGAACGUCUUGACGGUACCUAAUCAGAAAGCCACGGCUAACUACGUG